Molecule: ribosomal RNA, 136 nt
Filed under: uncultured eukaryote
Lineage: Eukaryota
Description: partial 18S ribosomal RNA
Rfam family: Eukaryotic small subunit ribosomal RNA
Source: RNAcentral
UGGUGGAGUGAUUUGUCUGGUUUAUUCCGAUAACGAACGAGACUCUGGCCUACUAACUAGUGCGCGGGUCCUCUUCGCCCGCCGCGCUUCUUAGAGGGACAAGCAGUGCUCAGCUGCAUGAGAAAGAGCAAUAACA